AUGAACGCUGGCGGCGUGCCUAAUACAUGCAAGUCGAGCGAACAGAUGAGAAGCUUGCUUCUCUGAUGUUAGCGGCGGACGGGUGAGUAACACGUGGGUAACCUACCUAUAAGACUGGGAUAACUCCGGGAAACCGGGGCUAAUACCGGAUAAUAUAUUGAACCGCAUGGUUCAAUGUUGAAAGACGGUUUCGGCUGUCACUUAUAGAUGGACCCGCGCCGUAUUAGCUAGUUGGUAAGGUAACGGCUUACCAAGGCAACGAUACGUAGCCGACCUGAGAGGGUGAUCGGCCACACUGGAACUGAGACACGGUCCAG
Molecule: ribosomal RNA, 317 nt
Filed under: uncultured Staphylococcus sp.
Lineage: Bacteria; Bacillati; Bacillota; Bacilli; Caryophanales; Staphylococcaceae
Description: bacterial SSU rRNA
Rfam family: Bacterial small subunit ribosomal RNA
Source: RNAcentral